Molecule: long non-coding RNA, 1968 nt
Organism: Hyla sarda
Lineage: Eukaryota; Metazoa; Chordata; Amphibia; Anura; Hylidae
Exons: 3
Source: RefSeq, a predicted model, not a curated record
UCCGGCAUGGAAGCGCACAUUAGUCACUGAUGCUGCACGGCUUCCCACCACUGCGGGUUAGCGCUCUGUCCAUGAGAUUCUGACCGGGCAAAGGAAUCAUAAGUACAGCAUAGCAGAGAACUUGUUUGCAAGUAUCCGGACAUUUGGAAAGUAACUCACAGAUGGAGAAGUUUUGAUCCCCAUUGCUUGAUUUCGUUCCAUGUAUAAUGAGCUGGAGCUAGAAUUGUUGAAAAACAAAAUCCGGAUCAAACAGAGGAAUUGUGACAGGGGGACCAGGCGACCCUGACACCCAAUGGGAGACCCUCAAACCUGGACCUUCUGUAGUGUAGGGGGAGGAGAGUUUAGUUUUGUGAGGAGAAGAAGUCUUGCGAGGAGCUGGUGUCCAGUGAAAUGGCAGUAAGGAAAGUGUGUUCCAGCUAGCAAGCUGAGGAGAAGCCUUGGGAGGAGAAGUCUACUAAAUUCCAAAGCCACACCAAAUCUCAGGAAAAGACCCGGGUGCUCAGGUGAAUUGUCAAAGUGUGGUGAUAAGCAAAGCUCUUGGAGAAAAUCUCUACUUCAGUCAGUCAGUCAAGUUAAGUCUUUCAAGUCAGCGUGAGCUGCUACUAAUCUUAAAACAGCAAUUACAACUCCCAGCAAGGCGACAGGCUCCCCAGGUCCCACUUUGCCCAUCCCUGUGCAACAAAGUCUGUAUUGUUUAAGUUCUGCUACCUCCAGUAAAGUAAAAAGACAGUUAUCCAUAACCUGGCAUCGUUGUAUUUAUUAUCCUGCGCCUGGCCCAGGAGAAGCAGUUGUUACCUCGGACCAUGUAGGUUAACGGUGCCCUGGCGUCAUGAAGUGAUACAUCUAACCACCCUAAGUCACGUGCCACGAUUUGUCUAACUCCCUGUGGCUGCUACAUAUCUACCUACCUGGUUACCUAGCUACCAAUGCAUUUACCUAUUAUGGGGGCAACCUACCGGAGGACAUACCUGCCUAUGGGGCUGCACUACCUAAUAAGGGAACUAACUACUGUGGGACAUACCUACCUAAUGGGGUAGCUAUCUUCCUACUGGAUGCUGAGCAUUGCUACAGCACCUUGCCAAAGAGUGCUAGAGGCACUAGCUAUGCCUCUGUGUGCCUACCUGUUUAUUUCUUCCUACAAGCUCUAUUAUAUGGCACCUACAGAAAUCUAGGCAGCUUUACUGUACCAUGCACCUCUGCUUUUAUGGAAAGUUUUUUUCUAUGAGGUUAUAAAUGAAUCUAGCAGUUUAAAUAUUGUGGCAUAUUCCACUGGAUGUCAUGUUACAGAGACAUUGCAUCUUUCCCCAUACUAAGUUGUAGUACAUUCUCCAUGAUGCCUGGAUUUUUGCUGAUCAAUGCUGCUGGUCACAAAUUGCCUAACAGGAAAUGCCAGUCAAUGGUUGAAGUGGGUUAAAAAUUCUAGUAAUGGACAUUCUCAUGAAUUAUUAUGUUCCAAAGGAAGAAAUUUACCCCCUUAUGCCCAUGAAUAUAAUUUCCCUGUACAAUGCUGACCUUCAAGUGCUUCACUCUGGAAAUUAACUCAUAAAUUCAAUUACUCUUUCAUGCCCUGUGGAUGAUGUCUGCUAUCAGACUUACCUUCCCUUUCAUAUUAUUAUAAAGGUUUCCAUAAGUUACUUUUUUGUUCAACAAUGUAGGUUUUGUAAAUCUGAAGCCUUUCAAUAAGAUACAACUCUUAAAUUCAUGCAUAUGUUACAGUUUUUAAUUCAAUUUAUCCUUUCAUGCUUUUGAGAUCACUGAAAGGCAAAUCAUGAAGUAGGAAGACUACUUUCUUAAAAAGGCAAGCAAGUGAGCAAAGCCAAGGUUAUUACUGUAUACAGAAAGAAAGUUAUUAAUUUAAAUAAUAUUUUACAAUAGCACAGAAAUCAAGAGAUCAAUAUAACUUAGUUACUUUGUAAAUCCCUAUAACAUUUACUGGGGCUGCUGAAGUAAAAAAAAAAAUUCAUUCAA